AAGGGUGCAGGGCGGAUGCCUUGGCACUAGGAGCCGAUGAAGGACGUGAUAAGCUGCGAUAAGCUUCGGGGAGUUGCACGUAAACUUUGAUCCGAAGAUUUCCGAAUGAGGAAACUCACUUAGAGUAAUGUCUAAGUAUCAUUAAGUGAAUACAUAGCUUAAUGAGGGGAACUCAGGGAACUGAAACAUCUAAGUACCUGAAGGAAGAGAAAGAAAUUCGAUUCCGUAAGUAGCGGCGAGCGAACGCGGAUUAGCCCAAACCAAUAAAGUUUUCU
Molecule: ribosomal RNA, 275 nt
Filed under: Clostridioides difficile
Lineage: Bacteria; Bacillati; Bacillota; Clostridia; Peptostreptococcales; Peptostreptococcaceae
Description: partial 23S ribosomal RNA
Rfam family: Bacterial large subunit ribosomal RNA
Source: RNAcentral